Molecule: non-coding RNA, 2240 nt
Organism: Phoenix dactylifera (date palm)
Lineage: Eukaryota; Viridiplantae; Streptophyta; Magnoliopsida; Arecales; Arecaceae
Source: RefSeq, a predicted model, not a curated record
GGAUAGCUGUUUGGUAGUUUUUAUCAUUACUUUUUCUGUUAUAGCUAUUACUGGAUGCUGAGUAAUAUGUUCCAUGACUUUGCUGUGCCUUUGUAAUUAAUAUCUCAACUUUUUUCCCUUAAAAAAAUGCAUUUUGUGUUUGUUUAUGGCUGCAUUGUCUCAAUUGCAUUUUAUAUCAUACUUAGAUACUCCAUGUUGUCCUUAUGAUCAAAAGAGUCUUGUCUUUGGUCAGUUUUGCUGCUAGUAGUAUUAACUUAAUGGCCAUUUGCAUCUUUUUGAGCAUUAGACCUUUUCUUUUGCAAAUCUGAGGUUUUGCAUGAAUGGUCUGACAAAGGAGUUUCUUUGAGGAGUGGGCAAAGGGCUGGUGUGCCAUAAGAUGGAGAUGUCAUUCUUAAUGUAGAAUAAAACUAUAAAAGUUUCGAGGUAGGGGAGGGGUUCGUGUGGGGAGGCGGAGGGGUUUUUGGUGUGGAAUGGGGAGAGGGGACAGGAGGAACCAGCAUUGGAGGGGAAGGAGGUGGAUGAGGUGGUGCUGAAGGAGGUAGAGAAUGAGGAGGAGGAUAGAACACUGGGGGGCGGAGGUGGUGCCAUGAACACCACCAAGCAUCUGUGGGCGGGGGGCUGUGGGAGAACAAAUAUAUCUUAAUACAUGUUCAAGAAAAAGAAAGGCACAUUUUGUUAUUUUGUAAGAAGCAGCGCACACAAAAUGACUUGCAAAAAAUGGUACCAAUAAGUUGAGUUGGUAAAGUUGCUAGGAGUUGGAAGUUGGUGAAUUAAGUUGAUCUCACCUUUGGCCCAAUUUCAGUUGGCUAUGACUUAUUCCCCUUAUCACCUAUGAACCUAUCACCUUUCCCCAAUUGUUUAAUUUUAGAAAGUUAAAAUCUUUGAAUGUAAAGGAUUUGAAAAAUUGUUGUCUUAAUCUUGAAAAUUUUUUAAAGCAUAGUGAAUAUUCUGAUAUUGAUGGGCUUGAUCUAUUUUCAGAAUGAAAAGUUUUAAAAGAAGUUUUACAAAGAUUUGAAAAAUUGUUGUCUUAAUCUUGAAAGUUUUAAAAGAAGUUUUACAAACAGAAACCAGUACCCCUAUUGAUACUUUAAGUUUUAUAAAAAAAUAGAUUUUUUUCCAAAUGCAUGCGUUGCUUAUAGGAUAUUGUUAACAAUACCUGUAAUAGUUGCUUCUGCUGAAAGAAGUUUUUCAAAAUUAAAGUUGAUAAAAUCUUAUUUGCGGUCAACUAUUUCAUAAGAAAGAUUAAAUGGAUUAGCUAUAUUAUCGAUUGAAAAUAGUAUUUUAAUGAAUCUUGAGUACAAAAGUUUGAUUAGUAAUUUUACAUCUCAAAAAGCUACACAAAUUAUUUUUAAAUAAAAUUUUAAAGUAUUUUACACUUAUUAAAAUUUUUUUAUCAUUUUUUUUAAAAAAAAGCCUCCUUUAAUGAGUUCGCCUUCGGCCUCCAAAUGCAUUGGGCCACCCCUGGAACAGAGACAACCCCUAAAUGAUUGCUUAAUAUGCUUGUAAUUUUUCCAUUAUGACUCAUAUGAAAUAAAAAUGUUCCAGGGGAUAUGCUUGGUGAUACAUGUUGUCUCUUAUGUACUUGGUUAUUUCCAUCUAGCAUGAUCUUCCAGUUUUUUUUUUUUUUUCGUAGUUAUAGAUGUUGCAUACCAGAGAUUUUUCUGUAAAAGUGGUUUAUGGUUGUACCAAAUCCAAGUUAGUAAUUCCUAGUAGGUGAAAUAAACCAAACCUCUUUGGUUUAAAGUUUAGUCUUAUAUAGCAGCCAUUACCCUUGGUUGGGGAGCUAGGUUAUGACCGUGGAUGCUGCAGCUUAUUAAUUGAAAUAGCCUGGUUUGCAAUUGUGUCAAAGAACAAGUUUGUCUCUCUGAUAGUUGCCUCCUCUUCCAUUGCUUGUGAUCCAAGUCCAAGGAGGCAUUGCGCUUCUCCCAGUACAAAAUUCAGAAAACUGCAAUCUUUAUGUAUGUUUCUGAUUGACAGCAUUCUAUUUGUUCAGAAUGGCACUCUUCAACCUUCUUGUCUAUAGGUCAAGUCAAUGGGCAUGUUCAGUCACUUUCUGUGGCAACCAAGGCACAAAUGGGCAAAUUGGUGGACCCAUUUAUUGUUUUGAUAUGGCUUGAUUUUUUUUUUUUUAAAAAAAAAUCUGCAUUAGAGCUUUAAUCAAUAGCAUAUUGUUACUUUGAUUCUGUAUAUCAUAGUUGAACCUUCUCAGCUGCUUUCUUUCAUAUAUGAGAUUACCAAAA